This 1990-nucleotide long non-coding RNA is filed under the name Daphnia pulex (common water flea). RNAcentral describes it as "uncharacterized LOC124205013". Lineage: Eukaryota; Metazoa; Arthropoda; Branchiopoda; Diplostraca; Daphniidae. The record is from RNAcentral.
UGACUUAGGACAACCACAAAAUCAAUUAGGUUGUCUGUUGACAGUCUGUUGAUGUCUUGUUGUAAUUUCAUGACCGAUAAUUCCCGAGGGCGAACCUGGAAGGGUCUUGUUCAUUGACCAAAUAUAACCAAAAUUCUGAGAUUAAAAAACAAAGAUUUCUCCAGUUUUUUUAACAAUAGGGUUGAGCCACAAUUUUCCGUUUUAUGUCAGCUUUCAGGCUUGGGUUAAAAUUACCACUUGUGGUUUUAAUGUCUUCAAAUAUCAAAGACUCGAAAAAAUGUUUUUAUCGACAAAUUCUAUUAAUUUAAAGUGCAUAUGCAAUAUGCAAUAUGCAUAUGUAAUUUUUGGACAGCUCUUUUAAAAAAUGUUAUAAUUUAAUCCGUGAAAUCGUUACUUGAAACAAAUGGUUUUUUAAACAUUCAGUCAGUCUCAGUAUAGUCCUGUUGGCACUACUCAAUAAACUUCUCCGCCCGCAUCGGUAAUCGGGGAACAACACUAGCCUUUCUCCAACCAGUUGAAGAGCCUUACGUCCACUUCAUUGACAUCAACCAAAAUAAGUUGAAGUUAACCCAUACGACAGUCAACAGAACGAUCGCGCAUUGAUGGACAAGGCGGACAAGGCCACUAGAGCGUUUGUUUUUUCAUUCACUCUCACGUCAAACACGAAUAUUCCGUUCUACUUCGAGUAAAAGUUUAUUGAUUUAGUUGACUUGUGUCAUUCACCGUCAUUUGGUCGUAAGUUCCGGUCUCCUUAAUACACUCCUGAAAAUGCCCCAACUUAACAAUUGAAAAACGGAUUUCUUUUAUCCGAUGACCAUUGAUCUCAACUUAAUCGCCUACAAGGACAACGAGGCUGCUGCACGUGCCGACGAAGCGUGCUAGACAACACCUGAAACUGACGAGUUUAUUUACAUAUUUUGUACCGAUAAUAAUUCCCCUCCCCUCACAAAAUCAAGGCUACAACAUCAAACAGUUACAUUAACACGUUGAAAGUGAAACUGUAAAGAAAUGAACGACUUUAUCUAAUAAAACAUUGAUUACAAAAAAAUUAUUUCUAGAUUGGCUGAUAAAAAUUGUUAAUCAUGAUGAAGUGGUGUUGUACAUUGACAGGUAGGUUCUUGAUGUGGCGGAGUUACCUGAAUUGAAGAGGAUACGUUUGGGGGUAGUGUUUGAUGCUGAGAUUGCGAGUCGUAUUCCGGAGUAACUAUCGCCAAGAUUGAUGCCAAAGAAGGAAACUGGCAAUGAGGAGAACCCAGCCCAUGAGGAGGUACACGUGAAGCAAAGUCCUCCACAAGAAUUUGGUGAAGACAAGUUGAGGGCUGAUGAGAAUCAAGGAUGUGAGAGGAAGAACAAAACUAGCGGUGAAGAGUAAACUGCCAAGGAAUGGAUGGAGGACAAUGAAAACGGUUGCCACCCAAGGUGUGGCGUGGUGCACGUCUUCGGGAGGAAGAUUCGUUAGUUUAGCUGCCUGGGCCGUAGGUUAUUCUGGAAUCAUGGGCUCCAUCAAGUGGCUCCACUGUCCAUACUGGGCGUGUCGUAGGCAAAUUGUCCCCUGAGCCCUGAGAAUAACACCGCAUUGAGUCUUGCCCAUUCCCCCGUUUGGCAGCAUCUGACCUCCGUUUCCAUUCUGAUAUAGGGCCACGGAUGACUGGAGCGAGUUCGUUGUGUCGUUCCAUCCCAUUUUGAUGCAGAUACCUUAGCGAUGGCGGUGGUGUCAGGUGUAGUAGCGUUCCGGCGUCACUCUGCAAGGAAUCCAUGUCCAGAUAUAGCGUCGUCCCAAUUGCUGGAUGCUGUUGGAGACUGUGUUGGCCCAUAUCAUGUAUAAUAUAUGAUAUGGUAGUUAGCAAUGUUGGGUAGUUAACGUGGGAAGCUGCUGCGAUGACAGCAAUAGAAAUCACAGAAAACAACUCGCGAUAAAAAAGUAGCUGCUCAGUUAACUGAGCAUCUUGGAAAAUUACAUUUAAUAACUGCUGCUACUGUGAGAGCAACA